Molecule: ribosomal RNA, 253 nt
Filed under: uncultured bacterium
Lineage: Bacteria
Description: partial 16S ribosomal RNA
Rfam family: Bacterial small subunit ribosomal RNA
Source: RNAcentral
UACGAAGGGGGCUAGCGUUGCUCGGAAUCACUGGGCGUAAAGCGCACGUAGGCGGCUUCUUAAGUCAGGGGUGAAAUCCUGGAGCUCAACUCCAGAACUGCCUUUGAUACUGAGGAGCUCGAGUCCGGAAGAGGUGAGUGGAACUGCGAGUGUAGAGGUGAAAUUCGUAGAUAUUCGCAAGAACACCAGUGGCGAAGGCGGCUCACUGGUCCGGUACUGACGCUGAGGUGCGAAAGCGUGGGGAGCAAACAGG